Molecule: long non-coding RNA, 460 nt
Filed under: Elaeis guineensis (African oil palm)
Lineage: Eukaryota; Viridiplantae; Streptophyta; Magnoliopsida; Arecales; Arecaceae
Description: long non-coding RNA (EGUI_LNC001939)
Source: RNAcentral
CAUCAUGUCUGACGAUUGUUUCUCGUUUGCUGCUACUGAAACGGAUCUCAUCUCGUGUCAGUUGUAGCCGAGAUGUUUCUAUCGACAUGUUCCAUAUGAUUAUUUGAUCUUAAGCUACAAAACUGUAACAAUGCCUACUGCCUGGUACAUUAAUUGUACUGUUGCAAGUAUGUUGUUCAUUCUUUCUGAAUAAAAAUCCCACCCACUUACCAAAAAAACGUGACCUUUCUGAGCCGUGUCAUGGCCCACCCACAACCAAGAUACCACAAAAUACAGUACAUCAUCGGUAGGUGAUAUAGAUCCACCAAACGUACCUGAACGAAAGAUGGGUUAUUUCACCGAAUAGACCGAAACACAACAUGAAACAGAGAUGACUUGAACUUGGCACCUCUUCUUUCUUUAUGUGUGUACUUGCGUACAGGAAGCGGGUGGUGCCGACCCUUAAAAAGUCUUGCCAAGU